Non-coding RNA from Callithrix jacchus (white-tufted-ear marmoset), 366 nucleotides. The record is from RefSeq and is a predicted model, not a curated record. Lineage: Eukaryota; Metazoa; Chordata; Mammalia; Primates; Cebidae.
CACGAGGCUGGCCUCAGCGGCUCAGCUGCCACAAUGGUGAUCUCUGGGCGCCUAGUGGACAGAAGCCUCAGUGAGGUUUUGCAGGCCAGAGCCCUAACACCAAAGGUCUGAAGAAGGCCCAUGCCAGGACACCCAGAAAUUGCAAUAAUGGUGCCACUGCCUCCAUCAUCGCCACCAGCCCUUUCCCAGGAAGUCAGCUGAUGAGGAACAAUCCUUGGCAGUGGGGAGCGGGGCUGCUGGAUGACUUUGGCAGCUUGAGAAGAUAGCAGUGUGAAGAUCACCAAUGCAAAGAUCAUAACUAGGAAGGUUUUCUUUAGCUCAUUUAUUUUUGGAAGUAGCUUCAAAAGGAAUAAAUGUCUAGAGGUC